Molecule: long non-coding RNA, 4449 nt
Organism: Polyodon spathula (Mississippi paddlefish)
Lineage: Eukaryota; Metazoa; Chordata; Actinopteri; Acipenseriformes; Polyodontidae
Exons: 3
Source: RefSeq, a predicted model, not a curated record
GUACUGCUUGACACUUGGGAUUUGUACCAAAAUGAAGAACAAUGAAAAAUGCAUAAAUGAGAUAUAUCCACAUUGUCAGGGAAUGUAUUUAUUUUUUUUUCUGUCCGCCGAAAAUUAUAUUGUUGUCUUAUCUCAACUACAUCAACGAAGCGGAAAAAAGAAUGUGGACCGAUGUACCCAGGAAACAGCGGUACUGAGCAGGAAGCUCGUAUGAAGGCACACACAGACAUACCCUGUUUCAAGACUGAACAGGUUUAUUUCUCCACUACGGUCCUAUGACAUACAUUGUGGUUGCAGUCACGAAAACAAAAUUACCACAUGAAAUACCAGAAACGCUCAAUUUAUGUUAUGACCCCAAAAUAGGAGCCUACGUCAUGUCCUCAUUAUUGGUUAAUCGCUAUUUACACACAGAAAAACUGUUCACUGCCUGACUACUAGUACUUACUCCUCCACCGUAUCCAGCAGGUGCUCCAGGAUACCCAGGCACCCUAAAGUCAUCAUGGUCGAUGUCAAACUCAAGAUCUGAAAGUGAAUUUCUAUACCCCCAUGGACCCAGGGAAGGUAGAAGAGCUCACCACUUCCACCCACCUACCAUUUAUGAGGACUGAAGAUCUACAGACAACCUUUGUUCCCGAGCUUGUUUCAAGCUAAUAUCACCUGCCACGAAUAAGAAAUGGAUGUUACUAAACCACUGAACCCUGGAGGCAAGGGGCCAGCCUAAAAUGCCUGCUACGUGACUCGCUGGGAUGGCUGACGUGCGAUGAUGCAAACUUCCCCCAGCUGCUUUUACCCCAUAGCCCUGAGGGAAUGUAAAAGACAAUGCAGCGCACCUUGUAGGUCAAGAUCAACACCUUUGAGCAGGUAUUGACUAUACACGUAGCUGCCAACACACUAGCUUAAAACUGCUUACUCCCUUAUAUCACAUUUUUAAUACAGGAGCGUUAAACUGCUAAACUGCAGUCUGUACGCUUUCAGCCCAUAUAAGAAAGACUGUUUACAUUUCCUAAGAUGACUUCACAAUCUUUGGUCCCUGGGAUAAAGAUUUGAGGCUCAUCUUUUCAGUCAUUUACAAUUCUCUAUUCCUGUGUCUUCUGUAUUUGUUACUGAAGUAUAAAGUUUAGCAGAAUGAUUCUAUAAUUAUGACUAGCUACCAAUAACUAAAUUAUGUAACACCCGCUCGCUCAGAGGGGCUACAGAGGGGUUACUUUUAAUAUAGACUGUUGUCCGACUAUGCCAGUUCAGUGUGAUAAGCUAACAAUAAUCAGGUUCUUUUUAUUCAGAUAUAGUGACAAGGUUUAUGUGACAGCACAGUUAAGAGAAACAACACACUGUUCAAUAUCCAAGCGAUCAAUUACAGAUUUUCCAUUAGCAGGUCAUCAUAAUUAAGAUUUAUCAAAAUAGUCAUUUUAAAUCACCAAAGUGCAAACUGCAAUACUGCACUUUAGUAAGAGUACGGUUCGUUAACCAGACGUAAAUUGAGAAUAAUAAUACACUGACCAUUAAACAUGUAACAUGUUGUCUGGGCAGGGGAGGGAACAUCAGAGCGAGAUGAAAAUUUGUAUAACAAUCUCUUACUUUACUUUCCAUACGAAAGGUUCCAAUUAGCAAAUUGCGUAAAUGAUUACAGGUCAUCUUGACCACUGUGACAAUUUCAUGUAUAAAACCAUCCCAGAACCUUAUAACAAUAUUAUUAUAAAAUGGCUUGGAUAAAUAAAAAAAUGUGAUUGGCUAAACAAGGUCACAUGACCGUACAGUAAUAAUUGCCUUUCUGCAGUGCUAGGGCUGUUUUGCCAGAAGUUUUCCCCUCCAGAUCAAGAGGAUUCACAUUUCAGCUCAGGGCAAUCUGGAGGCAAGAAAUGGGCAGAGUUUUUUUUUUUUUAUUUUUUUUAAAGGUACAUUUUAAAUUUUAGAGAAGUUUCUAGAGUUUUUUUUUUUUUCCUGUCUGAAACCAGCUUUUAAAGAAGUGAAGCGUGUUUCAGUAGAUUCCUAUUAAUUGCAUAUGCUACGUGCCUAACAGCUCUAAGCAUUUAACCAGAAUAGACACAUUAUCAUAAGAAAUGUGCUUCACAAUUGUAUGCAAUUGUCAGGUAUACAAUUAAAUGUGCCUGUAAUGCACUGUAUAUUUUACCGAUAAUUGCAUACUCUGGUUAAUUGUAUACAACUUUUAAGCACAGAGGCUAUGUAAUUAACAAUAAUCUACUGUAAAAUGACUUAACAUGAUGUACAUAUUAUUUAAAGUUAGAUUUCAGUGCUACUUGCAUGAAUUGUCUCUUAAUAAAUUCAGAUGUUGAACAUUGCACAACAUUGUGUGUGUUUACAAUUAGGAAAAUAAGGAACUUGCACCCUCAUGCAAAAAUAAAUAAAUAAUAAAAUCUCACUUCGCUGGGGGCUCUUUCUCUAGAGGUAUACGGUGCAAUGCUAAGGUUUUCUAGCAUUUUUUAACCCUAACCCUAACCGGUUACUUUUAAAACAAACAAAGGUUAUUAAAAAAAAAAAAAAUGGCCUUGGAAUGGUGCUAAGUCAAUAGUGAAAAUCGACAGUGGACAGAAGAAUAUGUGUUUAUUUUGCCAGAUCACAAGAAUACAAAGCCAAUAUGCUUAAUGUGCACUUCAACGGUUACAGUCUGCAAGUUGCAACAUCUGCACUUCAAGACGAAUCACAGUCAUUUUAAUGACAGCAUUCCUCUUAAAUCUAAAAUAUGCCAUCUAAAAUCUCCAGAGUUUUACCCUUGUGAUCAGUCGAACAGCAUCCAAACAGGAAAAUGCAACAGCAGCAGCCUCCCUUCGGGUAGCAUGGGUUCUUGCAAAAAAAAAUAAAAUAAAAAAAUCACUGAAGCAGAGAGCCUGUGCAAUAGAAAUGGUCCAUGAAGUGCUCAGUAAUGAAGAGAAAGAGAAGUCAACAAGUCUAGAUCUUGUUAAACAGGCUCUGUUGUCUGACAAGAGCUCAGCAAGAUGCGUGGGCUUGCUUAGGGAGGACUUUCUGUUCUUUAAUUUGAAAAAAAGGCUGCAUUUGAUGAAUCACGUGACAUAAACGACAUUGCCCAGUUGUCAACUUUCGUCCACUUUGUUAUGUUUGCUACCUUUGCAUGGCCAAACCGCCGGUGAAACAAUUUUUUGGAGAAUCAACAAAGUUUUUUGAAAUAGCAAUCUGGUCUUCCGUAAAAUAAACUUGAUCACUCCAUCCAGGGCGUGUCAAGUUGAAAGCAUCAGUCAAUGUACAGCUCUGUCACUGCACUCAACAUUUACCUUAAAGUACAGAAUUAUAUUUUAUAGUGUGGUAAUGUAAAUACCUUCUCAUGAAAACCAAAUAAUAAAGUUAUGUGUCUUUUGCCAAAAAAAAUUAAAUGCAAAUUGGAAUAUGUUAUGAAUAUUUAGCGUAUAUACAUUUGGUUAGCCUGUCGUUUUGAGUGUGUAAAGCAGUCUUUCUUUACUGUACGUCUUCACUGUUGAAAGGGCCUUUACAUUUGACACAGACAUACACGCACCACAAUGCCUUGAUUUUAUAAUGAAUUGUAAAACUGCUUGAACAUGUGUUUUCUACUUGCUAAUCGACUGUUGAAAUUCUGGACACAGAUCGUAUACUGUAAACCCCUGGUUGUGAUAUUGUAGCGUUUCACGCAGGAGACAGAAGAACGGGAGACGACAUGCUGUUUUGCAGUCGAAACUCUUCCUUUUAUUAAGCCACUGUUUAUGAGCACCCUGUAGAGUCCACUGCUUCCACUGCUUCACUGCGGUCCUGGUAAACACACACGCAGCCUGACGAACACUCUCCCAAGCACCCGUUCCAGACACACGCAGCCUGGCGGACACUCUCCCGAGCACUGGCUACAGACACCCACUGCUGGACGCUCUCACGAGCAGCCAAACCAGCGUCGGGGCUCUGUUGCAGCAACCUAGAUGCUUCUCUCAGCACCCAGCUCCAGCAGCUCAGCAUCAGAAACAAGCACAGAAACAACAACACUCUGCACACCCCAAACACACACGCACACAAAACAACAACGACACAGCGCCCUUAUAUAACGUAGCUCCGCCCCUUUAUGCUAACCAUGUGAACAGAUAUCCCAUUGGUCCUCAGCCGCACACCAGAACCAAUGGGCACAGACAAACAACAGCCAAUGACUGGGAGGGAUCAGAAUACAACAGUAAUAACAGUACACGAACACAGUGGAAAUACAGUACGCAAAACAGAUGCACGGAUUGCUACAAUAUUCAUAUACAUACAGUGCUCGCUUGCACACACUUAGCUUUUAUUUCUUGAAACUUUUUUUUCACACAAUACAGAGUACCCUAGUAGUCUGUUGAAAAUAAAUACUCACUUUCUCCAAAACUAAACCUCGCUAAACAAAAUACUUCAGACUGCCGUUGAACAUCUAUUUUAUUUCCUGCAAUGAGAGGUUUAUCUGUUUUCUAGUCUUUUUUUUCCUGAGCUUUCUGAUCCCCGUUUCUUGGA